This 440-nucleotide ribosomal RNA is filed under the name uncultured bacterium. RNAcentral describes it as "partial 16S ribosomal RNA". It matches the Rfam family "Bacterial small subunit ribosomal RNA", at positions 338 to 795 of the family's 1533-position model. The record is from RNAcentral.
CCUACGGGUGGCAGCAGUGGGGAAUAUUGCACAAUGGGGGAAACCCUGAUGCAGCGACGCCGCGUGAGUGAAGAAGUAUCUCGGUACGUAAAGCUCUAUCAGCAGGGAAGAUAAUGACGGUACCUGACCAAGAAGCCCCGGCUAACUACGUGCCAGCAGCCGCGGUAAUACGUCGGGGGCAAGCGUUAUACGGAUUUACUGGGUGUAAAGGGAGCGUAGACGGCAGCACAAGUCUGGAGUGAAAUCCCGGGGCUUAAACCCGGAACUGCUUUGGAAACGGUGCGGCUGGAGUGCAGGAGGGGUAAGCGGAAUUCCUAGUGUAGCGGUGAAAGGCGUAGAUAUUAGGAGGAACCCCGAUUGCGAAGGCAGCAUGCCGGCUUCCGACUGACGCUGAAGCACGAAAGCGUGGGGAUCGAACAGGAUUAGAUACCCGUGUAGUC